GAUGAAGAACGCAGCGAAAUGCGAUAAGUAAUGUGAAUUGCAGAAUUCAGCGAAUCAUCGAAUCUUUGAACGCACAUUGCGCCCGCCAGUAUUCUGGCGGGCAUGCCUGUUCGAGCGUCAUUUCAACCAUCAAGCCCCCGGCUUGUGUUGGGGACCUGCGGCUGCCGCAGGCCCUGAAAACCAGUGGCGGGCUCGCUAGUCACUCCGAGCGUAGUAAUACAUCUCGCUCAGGGCGUGCUGCGGGUUCCGGCCGUUAAAAAGCCUUAUUUACCCAAGGUUGACCUCGGAUCAGGUAGGAAGACCCGCUGAACUUAAGCAUAUCAAUAAGCGGAGGA
Molecule: unclassified non-coding RNA, 335 nt
Filed under: soil metagenome
Description: partial contains 5.8S ribosomal RNA, internal transcribed spacer 2, and large subunit ribosomal RNA
Rfam family: 5.8S ribosomal RNA (bases 1-120)
Source: RNAcentral